This 529-nucleotide ribosomal RNA is filed under the name Vibrio vulnificus. RNAcentral describes it as "bacterial SSU rRNA". It matches the Rfam family "Bacterial small subunit ribosomal RNA", at positions 347 to 868 of the family's 1533-position model. The record is from RNAcentral. Lineage: Bacteria; Pseudomonadati; Pseudomonadota; Gammaproteobacteria; Vibrionales; Vibrionaceae.
AGCAGCAGUGGGGAAUAUUGCACAAUGGGCGCAAGCCUGAUGCAGCCAUGCCGCGUGUGUGAAGAAGGCCUUCGGGUUGUAAAGCACUUUCAGUCGUGAGGAAGGUGGUAGUGUUAAUAGCACUAUCAUUUGACGUUAGCGACAGAAGAAGCACCGGCUAACUCCGUGCCAGCAGCCGCGGUAAUACGGAGGGUGCGAGCGUUAAUCGGAAUUACUGGGCGUAAAGCGCAUGCAGGUGGUUUGUUAAGUCAGAUGUGAAAGCCCGGGGCUCAACCUCGGAACUGCAUUUGAAACUGGCAGACUAGAGUACUGUAGAGGGGGGUAGAAUUUCAGGUGUAGCGGUGAAAUGCGUAGAGAUCUGAAGGAAUACCGGUGGCGAAGGCGGCCCCCUGGACAGAUACUGACACUCAGAUGCGAAAGCGUGGGGAGCAAACAGGAUUAGAUACCCUGGUAGUCCACGCUGUAAACGAUGUCUACUUGGAGGUUGUGGCCUUGAGCCGUGGCUUUCGGAGCUAACGCGUUAAGUAGA